UACGUAGGGGGCAAGCGUUGUCCGGAAUGAUUGGGCGUAAAGCGCGUGUAGGCGGCCCGGUAAGUCCGCUGUGAAAGUCCAGGGCUCAACCCUGGAAAGCCGGUGGAUACUGUCGGGCUAGAGUCCGGAAGAGGCGAGUGGAAUUCCUGGUGUAGCGGUGAAAUGCGUAGAUAUCUGGAGGAAUACCGGUGGCGAAGGCGGCAUCCUGGACCGGCAUUGACGCUGAGGAGCGAAAGCCAGGGGAGCAAACGGG
RNAcentral lists this ribosomal RNA (253 nucleotides) under uncultured bacterium. RNAcentral describes it as "partial 16S ribosomal RNA". It matches the Rfam family "Bacterial small subunit ribosomal RNA", at positions 524 to 776 of the family's 1533-position model. The record is from RNAcentral.